Molecule: ribosomal RNA, 422 nt
Filed under: uncultured bacterium
Lineage: Bacteria
Description: bacterial SSU rRNA
Rfam family: Bacterial small subunit ribosomal RNA
Source: RNAcentral
CCGGCCUUGACAUCCUCCCGAAUAGAGAGUAAUGUCUUUAGCCCUUCGGGGCGGGAGAGACAGGUGGUGCAUGGUUGUCGUCAGCUCGUGUCGUGAGAUGUUGGGUUAAGUCCCGCAACGAGCGCAACCCCUGCCGUCAGUAGCCAGCAGGUAAAGCUGGGCACUCUGAUGGGACAGCCUGGGAUAACCAGGAGGAAGGCGGGGACGACGUCAAAUCAUCAUGCCCCUUAUGGCCGGGGCUACACACGUGCUACAAUGGCGUAAACAGAGGGAAGCGAGACAGCGAUGUAGAGCAAAGCCCAAAAAUAACGCCUCAGUUCGGAUUGCAGCCUGCAACUCGGCUGCAUGAAGCCGGAAUCGCUAGUAAUCGCGAAUCAGAAUGUCGCGGUGAAUACGUUCCCGGGUCUUGUACACACGCAGGG